CAGAAUUACUUCAUCAAGGGACUGACCAAAGGAGACGGCCACGACUUCCCACAGGCCUGGAUCGGUGGCUUUGAUGCCAUAUAUCCGGGUUAUUGGAUGUGGAGCGACGGCUCUAAGUUCAACUACGACAACUGGUACCACGAUGACUACAGCGCCCACGACGGCUACCACUGCCUGAAGAUGAACUAUCACCUCAAGUUGGAGUGGUACCCUGACUACUGCAACAGCACUCUGGGGUUUGUUUGCUGCAAGCAGAUAUGAAGCCAGACGGACAAUGUGAAAAGCUGACCACAAGGUGGAGCUGUGUGCCAAAGUACCAACCACCCAACACAAAGGCUUCCUUUCUUCCUCAGCUUUUAGGGGUUGGCUUCAAAGUUAGGGUUAGGCUUUGAAUCUGGCCAGUCCACCUGCCUAGAACUCUCCAUGUGAACUCGCUGUGGCUUCUUUUUUCUAAUGAUCAUCUCUUUUUCUUUGCAUUGAAAAAGUACAAUCAAGCAUGCUGCAAGAAGUGUAAUUAUAAUAGCAGUAAAACUAGGCAAUAAAAAAAU
Amphiprion ocellaris (clown anemonefish) is the source of this 548-nucleotide long non-coding RNA. The record is from Ensembl. NCBI's taxonomy places the organism in Eukaryota, Metazoa, Chordata, Actinopteri, Pomacentridae.